Molecule: long non-coding RNA, 952 nt
Organism: Oncorhynchus tshawytscha (Chinook salmon)
Lineage: Eukaryota; Metazoa; Chordata; Actinopteri; Salmoniformes; Salmonidae
Exons: 3
Source: RefSeq, a predicted model, not a curated record
CUUUUUUUAAAGAAUGUAGUGAAGUAAAAUUAUAAAGUGGUAAAAAGUAAACUUACCCAAAGAAACUACGUAAGUAGUACUUUCAUGUAUUUACACUUAAGUACUUUACGUCACUGAUAUCAACAACAAAUUCACCAUACAUUUAUUUUGAAAGGUGAAUACAGAAUUUUCAUACCAGCCUUUAUCACUUCCCUACAGGAAAGAAAGCCUGCACUUUUCACCAGGAUGCCAUCUUUGAGCAGACCCAAAGAAUGUCAGGAGAGGAGUCGGGAGAGGAGUCGGGAGAGGAGUCAGCAAGUAUUACGUUUGUGACAAAUAGCUAAGUGCCUUUUAGGCACUAGGAUAGCUCCAAACAGAGAGACAGCUUCCGCACCCAGGUAACACACACAAUCCAUACUAACUGACCAAUUACUUUUACAUGCUCUGAGUUAAAAUGACUGGGUGGGAGGUUCAUUCAAAUGCACUGGAUUUUGUAUUUUAUGAGGAUCCCCAUUAGUUGUUGCUAAGGCAGCAGCUACUCUUCCUGGGGUCUACGCAAAACAUAAAACGUGACAUAAUACAGAACAUUAAACAGCUCAAGGACAGAACUACAUACAUUUAAGAACUGAGUGUUAUUACCAGUAUGUGUGAUUGGCUGGAUUAUUAUAACUCAUGGGACUCAAUCACCCACUACCACGCAGGAAGAAGGAGAGCGGUGACUCGGACUCAGAGCUCAUCGGCCCCCCCAGUGCCCCAACAUCUGACUGGUCAGGAGGAGGAUGCUAACUUGGUGGCCCACCACUACCACCAGGGUACAGAGAAAGCAAAGCAGACGAUGAUGAGGAUAUGCAGAUGACGAAGAUGUUAAUCCAGUGAAAAAGAUUCCAGACAAUUAUGAGAUCACUCUGCAGCAUGGCUCCAAAACAGCUUCUUCUUUUGACUUUAUAUGGUGGUUGGCAACCAACUUUAAGGU